Molecule: ribosomal RNA, 229 nt
Filed under: uncultured bacterium
Lineage: Bacteria
Description: partial 16S ribosomal RNA
Rfam family: Bacterial small subunit ribosomal RNA
Source: RNAcentral
UGCGUAGGCGGAUAAAUAAGUCAGUGGUGAAAUCUUUCGGCUCAACCGAGAAACUGCCAUUGAUACUGUUUAUCUUGAGUUCGGUAGAGGUAGGCGGAAUGUGUAAUGUAGCGGUGAAAUGCUUAGAUAUUACACAGAACACCAAUUGCGUAGGCAGCUUACUAUGCCGACACUGACGCUGAGGCACGAAAGCGUGGGGAGCGAACAGGAUUAGAUACCCUGGUAGUCC